This 465-nucleotide ribosomal RNA is filed under the name uncultured Klebsiella sp. RNAcentral describes it as "bacterial SSU rRNA". It matches the Rfam family "Bacterial small subunit ribosomal RNA", at positions 338 to 795 of the family's 1533-position model. Lineage: Bacteria; Pseudomonadati; Pseudomonadota; Gammaproteobacteria; Enterobacterales; Enterobacteriaceae. The record is from RNAcentral.
CCUACGGGUGGCAGCAGUGGGGAAUAUUGCACAAUGGGCGCAAGCCUGAUGCAGCCAUGCCGCGUGUGUGAAGAAGGCCUUCGGGUUGUAAAGCACUUUCAGCAGGGAGGAAGGCGUUAAGGUUAAUAACCUUGGCGAUUGACGUUACCCGCAGAAGAAGCACCGGCUAACUCCGUGCCAGCAGCCGCGGUAAUACGGAGGGUGCAAGCGUUAAUCGGAAUUACUGGGCGUAAAGCGCACGCAGGCGGUCUGUCAAGUCGGAUGUGAAAUCCCCGGGCUCAACCUGGGAACUGCAUUCGAAACUGGCAGGCUAGAGUCUUGUAGAGGGGGGUAGAAUUCCAGGUGUAGCGGUGAAAUGCGUAGAGAUCUGGAGGAAUACUGGUGGCGAAGGCGGCCCCCUGGACAAAGACUGACGCUCAGGUGCGAAAGCGUGGGGAGCAAACAGGAUUAGAUACCCCGGUAGUC